AGAUUCCUACGGGAGGCAGCAGUGGGGAAUUUUCCGCAAUGGGCGAAAGCCUGACGGAGCAAUACCGCGUGAGGGAUGACGGCCUAUGGGUUGUAAACCUCUUUUUUCAGGGAGGAAUAAAAUGACGUGUACCUGAAGAAUAAGCAUCGGCUAACUCCGUGCCAGCAGCCGCGGUAAGGCGGGGGAUGCAAGUGUUAUCCGGAAUCACUGGGCGUAAAGCGUCUGUAGGUGGCCUAGCAAGUCAACUGUUAAAUCUUGAGGCUCAACUUCAAAAUCGCAGUCGAAACUGUUAGACUAGAGUAUAGUAGAGGUAAAGGGAAUUUCCAGUGGAGCGGUGAAAUGCGUAGAGAUUGGAAAGAACACCGAUGGCGAAGGCACUUUACUGGGCUAUUACUAACACUCAGAGACGAAAGCUAGGGUAGCAAAUGGGAUUAGAUACCCCAGUAGUCCUAGCCGUAAACAAUGGAUACUAGAUGUUGAACAGAUCGACCUGUGCAGUAUUAAAGCUAACGCGUUAAGUAUCCCGCCUGGGAAGUAUGCUCGCAAGAGUGAAACUCAAAUGAAUUGACGGG
RNAcentral lists this ribosomal RNA (572 nucleotides) under uncultured bacterium. RNAcentral describes it as "bacterial SSU rRNA". It matches the Rfam family "Bacterial small subunit ribosomal RNA", at positions 333 to 917 of the family's 1533-position model. The record is from RNAcentral.